UGCGCAGGCGGACUAUUAAGUCAGUGGUGAAAUCUCUCGGCUCAACCGAGAAACUGCCAUUGAAACUGAUAGCCUUGAGUAUGGUUGUGGUAGGCGGAAUAUAGCAUGUAGCGGUGAAAUGCUUAGAUAUGCUAUAGAACACCGAUCGCGAAGGCAGCUUACCAAACCAUUACUGACGCUCAUGCACGAAAGCGUGGGGGGCAAACAGGAUUAGAUACCCUGGUAGUCC
RNAcentral lists this ribosomal RNA (229 nucleotides) under uncultured bacterium. RNAcentral describes it as "partial 16S ribosomal RNA". It matches the Rfam family "Bacterial small subunit ribosomal RNA", at positions 568 to 796 of the family's 1533-position model. The record is from RNAcentral.